RNAcentral lists this long non-coding RNA (486 nucleotides) under Homo sapiens (human). RNAcentral's name for it is "non-protein coding lnc-ZNF717-3:2". The record is from RNAcentral. Lineage: Eukaryota; Metazoa; Chordata; Mammalia; Primates; Hominidae.
GCGCUCAGAUGCCCCAGCUCAGCCGAGAGGCCGCUCGCGCCGGGUCCUUCCUCUUCCCCAAGUGCAGGCAGAGCCCCCGGAGCCAUGGCCAGUCCUUCCGGCAGCUCCGAAGCCACUGGCAAGACCCGAGGCAGGGAUGGCCGGCCCAGGAGGGAGGAGGACGACGUCCCUCCCGAGGAGAAGAGGCUGCGGCUGUUGCUGGAGGGAGGGGGGAAGGGCACAGCCCGAGGACUGCGAGGACGGAGAGGACGCGCCGCGGCCGGGCAGGGAGGAGACCGGCACCCAGACAGGUGGCGACGGCAGAGGAAUAACCUUCACUCUUCUCUGCAACGAAUCCCAAAAGUAUGUAGUUGAGCUGACUGCAAGGUGCUUGAGACGCAAGAGACUCCACAAAUGGGAUUCGGCCUCUGGAAAGUGGUGGUAAUUCCAGAUUUAUGUGGCUGUUACUUUGUUUUUCCCUAUAAAAUACAUUCUUUAAACUAUCAA